Long non-coding RNA from Aphis gossypii (cotton aphid), 434 nucleotides. RefSeq lists it as uncharacterized. The transcript has 2 exons. The record is from RefSeq and is a predicted model, not a curated record. Lineage: Eukaryota; Metazoa; Arthropoda; Insecta; Hemiptera; Aphididae.
CGCAGUGAUCUAUACUUCAAAUCCCGCAGGACCGUUCAAAGCACCAAGCCGUUGUCACAUCUCACAUAUACGUCGACAAUAAUAAUUGAUUGAUCGUCGAUUCUGUAUGCACAUUCUGAGGUGAUCGUGGGUGAUCAUUUAACAAGGCCACCUCAGGAAACAAUUGAAGAGAUGUAGCCGUCUGGGAAAAAUGCCGUGUGGCGGCGAGUCAUGCGUGUGUGUUUGUAUGCACAGCGUGCACGAUUCUUCGUCGACGACGGCGGCGCAUAGUCGCGUUCGUUAAAAACAGCUAAUGGGAAAACGGCGGUGGCGGGUGAGGCCUAUAAAAAUCGUACCAACGACGAUGACGUUGACGGAUGGACCUCCAGAGGGCGACGACGACCGUGCUGCCACAAAAGAGGCGUUUAAAUUGUAUUACACGAAAUACUUUUUCA